Dipodomys ordii (Ord's kangaroo rat) is the source of this 69-nucleotide non-coding RNA. The record is from Rfam. Lineage: Eukaryota; Metazoa; Chordata; Mammalia; Rodentia; Heteromyidae.
GGGAAGGUGGCUCAGUGGUAGAGUGCUUGCCUUGCAUGCAUGAGGCACUGGUUCAAUUCCUCAGUGCCA